This 271-nucleotide long non-coding RNA is filed under the name Monodelphis domestica (gray short-tailed opossum). RNAcentral's name for it is "lncRNA (ENSMODG00000030383.2)". Lineage: Eukaryota; Metazoa; Chordata; Mammalia; Didelphimorphia; Didelphidae. The record is from RNAcentral.
AUCCCUGAUCUAUCUAUCCCAAGUUGCCUUGGGUCUGAGAUUUCUACAGUAACUCAAUCGGUCACCAGCUUUGUGCCAUAGGUUUCCCCACGCGUUAAAAAAUUGUCAAAACUGGACUUCAAUAACUGAAGUGAAGCAGUACUUCAAAGCUUCAGGUUCUUUGUGCCUUCAGUACUGGCUCUGGAGAUCUAUCUGAGUUUAAUUCUUCCAAGGUGGCAUGAUGUAAGGAGAGGUGCGUUUAAUAUUGUCUUGUUGUGAGUGCUGGUCCAUG